Molecule: ribosomal RNA, 371 nt
Filed under: uncultured bacterium
Lineage: Bacteria
Description: bacterial SSU rRNA
Rfam family: Bacterial small subunit ribosomal RNA
Source: RNAcentral
GGAGGGUGCGAGCGUUGUCCGGAAUCACUGGGCGUAAAGGGCGCGUAGGCGGCCUGAUAAGUAGGGGGUGAAAUCUUGCGGCUUAACCGCAAGGCUGCCUUCUAAACUGUCAGGCUAGAGCACAGUAGAGGCAGGUGGAAUUCCCGGUGUAGCGGUGGAAUGCGUAGAGAUCGGGAAGAACAUCAGUGGCGAAGGCGGCCUGCUGGGCUGUUGCUGACGCUGAGGCGCGACAGCGUGGGGAGCAAACAGGAUUAGAUACCCUGGUAGUCCACGCCGUAAACGAUGGGCACUAGGCGUCGGGGGGAGCGACCCUCCCGGUGCCGUCGCUAACGCAGUAAGUGCCCCGCCUGGGGAGUACGGCCGCAAGGCUG